RNAcentral lists this ribosomal RNA (508 nucleotides) under uncultured bacterium. RNAcentral's name for it is "partial 16S ribosomal RNA". It matches the Rfam family "Bacterial small subunit ribosomal RNA", at positions 355 to 853 of the family's 1533-position model. The record is from RNAcentral.
UGGGGAAUUUUGGGACAAUGGGGGAAACCCCUGAUCCAGCCAUCCCGCGUGUGCGAUGAAGGCCUUCGGGUUGUAAAGCACUUUUUGGCAGGAAAGAAACGUCGCGGGUUAAUACCCCGCGAAACUGACGGUACCUGCAGAAUAAGCACCGGCUAACUACGUGCCAGCAGCCGCGGUAAUACGUAGGGUGCAAGCGUUAAUCGGAAUUACUGGGCGUAAAGCGUGCGCAGGCGGUUCGGAAAGAAAGAUGUAAAUCCCAGAGCUUAACUUUGGAACUGCAUUUUUAACUACCGGGCUAGAGUGUGUCAGAGGGAGGUGGAAUUCCGCGUGUAGCAGUGAAAUGCGUAGAUAUGCGGAGGAACACCGGAUGGCGAAGGCAGCCUCCUGGGAUAACACUGACGCUCAUGCACGAAAGCGUGGGGAGCAAACAGGAUUNGAUACCCUGGUAGUCCACGCCCUAAACGAUGUCAACUAGCUGUUGGGGCCUUCGGGCCUUGGUAGCGCAGCU